UGGUGGAGUGAUUUGUCUGGUUAAUUCCGUUAACGAACGAGACCUCAGCCUGCUAAAUAGCCACGCGAACAUUCGUGUUUGCGGCCGGCUUCUUAGAGGGACUAUUGGCGCUUAGCCGACUGGAAGUUUGAGGCAAUAACA
This 141-nucleotide ribosomal RNA is filed under the name uncultured eukaryote. Its description in RNAcentral is "partial 18S ribosomal RNA". It matches the Rfam family "Eukaryotic small subunit ribosomal RNA", at positions 1299 to 1458 of the family's 1831-position model. The record is from RNAcentral.